Molecule: ribosomal RNA, 503 nt
Filed under: uncultured bacterium
Lineage: Bacteria
Description: bacterial SSU rRNA
Rfam family: Bacterial small subunit ribosomal RNA
Source: RNAcentral
AGAGUUUGAUCAUGGCUCAGAACGAACGCUGGCGGCGUGCUUAACACAUGCAAGUCGAACGCGAAAGUUUUCUUCGGAAGACGAGUAGAGUGGCGCACGGGUGAGUAACGCGUAAAUAAUCUACCCCUGCAUCCGGGAUAACCCACCGAAAGGUGAGCUAAUACCGGAUACGUUCUUUUAAUCGCGAGAUUUUAAGAAGAAAGGUGGCCUCUGAUAUAAGCUACUGUGCAGGGAGGAGUUUGCGUACCAUUAGCUAGUUGGCAGGGUAAUGGCCUACCAAGGCAACGAUGGUUAGCGGGUCUGAGAGGAUGAUCCGCCACACUGGAACUGGAACACGGACCAGACUCCUACGGGAGGCAGCAGUGAGGAAUAUUGCGCAAUGGGGGCAACCCUGACGCAGCGACGCCGCGUGGAUGAUGAAGGCCUUCGGGUCGUAAAAUCCUGUCAGAUGGAAAGAAGUGCAUAUGUAUUAACAGUAUGUAUGUUUGACGGUACCAUCAAAG